This 215-nucleotide ribosomal RNA is filed under the name Glomeromycotina sp. RNAcentral describes it as "partial small subunit ribosomal RNA". The stretch from base 38 to 215 matches the Rfam family "Eukaryotic small subunit ribosomal RNA", at positions 685 to 864 of the family's 1831-position model. The record is from RNAcentral. Lineage: Eukaryota; Fungi; Glomeromycota.
GGGUCAGUAGGUUGGUCGUGCCACCGGUACGUACUGGUCUCACUGAUUUCUCCUUCCUGAAGAACCGUAAUGCAUUAAUUUGGUGUUGCGGGGAAACAGGACUGUUACUUUGAAAAAAUUAGAGUGUUUAAAGCAAGCUAACGCUUGAAUACAUUAGCAUGGAAUAAUGAAAUAGGACGAUCGAUCCUAUUUUGUUGGUUUCUAGGAUUGACGUA